GGACACUCGGUGGCAGGGGGCGGGGGAAUACGGAGGGUGGAAGAGUUGAUCGGAAUUACAGGGCGUAAAGGGUGCGUGGGCGGUUAUUUAAGUCCGCCGGGAAAUCUCCGGGCGCUACCUGGGAAUUGCUGUGGGUACUGGAGAGCUAGAGUGUGUCAGAGGAUGGUGGAAGUCCCUGUGGAGCGGUGAAAUGCGUAGAGAUCGGGAGGAACAUCAGUGGCGAAGGCGGCCAUCUGGGACAACACUGACGCUGAAGCACGAAAGCGUGGGGAGCAAACAGGAUUAGAUACCCGUGUAGUC
RNAcentral lists this ribosomal RNA (300 nucleotides) under uncultured Desulfurococcus sp. RNAcentral's name for it is "bacterial SSU rRNA". It matches the Rfam family "Bacterial small subunit ribosomal RNA", at positions 496 to 795 of the family's 1533-position model. The record is from RNAcentral. Lineage: Archaea; Thermoproteati; Thermoproteota; Thermoprotei; Desulfurococcales; Desulfurococcaceae.